GACGAACGCUGGCGGCGUGCUUAACACAUGCAAGUCGAACGAAGAGCGACGGAAGCUUGCUUCUAUCAAUCUUAGUGGCGAACGGGUGAGUAACGCGUAAUCAACCUGCCCUUCAGAGGGGGACAACAGUUGGAAACGACUGCUAAUACCGCAUACGAACUAACCUCGGCAUCGAGGCUAGAUGCAAGGUGGCCCCUACAUGUAAGCUAUCACUGAAGGAGGGGAUUGCGUCUGAUUAGCGAGUUGGAGGGGUAACGGCCCACCGAGGCGAUGCUCAGUAGCCGGUAUGAGAGGAUGGACGGCCACAUUGGGACGGAGAAACGGCCCAGAUUCCUACGGGAGGCAGCAGGGGGGAAUCUGCCGCAAUGGACGAAAGACUGACGGAGCAACGCCGCGUGAGUGAUGACGGCCUUCGGGUUGUAAAGCUCUGUUAAUCGGGACGAAAGGCCUUCUUGCGAAUAGUGAGAAGGAUUGACGGUACCGGAGGAGAAAGCCACGGCUAACUACGUG
This 510-nucleotide ribosomal RNA is filed under the name uncultured bacterium. RNAcentral describes it as "partial 16S ribosomal RNA". It matches the Rfam family "Bacterial small subunit ribosomal RNA", at positions 28 to 507 of the family's 1533-position model. The record is from RNAcentral.